This 253-nucleotide ribosomal RNA is filed under the name uncultured bacterium. Its description in RNAcentral is "partial 16S ribosomal RNA". It matches the Rfam family "Bacterial small subunit ribosomal RNA", at positions 524 to 776 of the family's 1533-position model. The record is from RNAcentral.
UACGAAGGGGGCUAGCGUUGCUCGGAAUCACUGGGCGUAAAGCGCACGUAGGCGGAUCUUUAAGUCAGGGGUGAAAUCCUGGAGCUCAACUCCAGAACUGCCUUUGAUACUGGGGAUCUCGAGUCCGGAAGAGGUGAGUGGAACUCCGAGUGUAGAGGUGAAAUUCGUAGAUAUUCGGAAGAACACCAGUGGCGAAGGCGGCUCACUGGUCCGGUACUGACGCUGAUGCGCGACAGCGUGGGGAGCAAACAGG